GAGAAUUCUUCUUAAAAGGGUGGGGGUGUUGCAAAGGCCCAUGGAGUGUGUUGACACAAUAUAAUUUCUGCCCAGUGCUCUCAAUGCCAAAGUGAAGAAAUUCAAUGAAGUGCAGGUAAAGGAAUAACUAUGACUCUCUUAAGUAGUUGAAUGCCUUGUCAUCUAAUUAGUGAUGUGCAUGAAUUAAUGAAGUGGAGAUUCUC
This 203-nucleotide non-coding RNA is filed under the name Nomascus leucogenys (northern white-cheeked gibbon). Its description in RNAcentral is "Eukaryotic large subunit ribosomal RNA". It matches the Rfam family "Eukaryotic large subunit ribosomal RNA", at positions 2128 to 2337 of the family's 3401-position model. The record is from Rfam by way of RNAcentral. Lineage: Eukaryota; Metazoa; Chordata; Mammalia; Primates; Hylobatidae.